GAGACAUGAGCUUAUUGUCAAGGAAGAUAAGCUUGUAUCAAGGCUGUCUACCUUAUGGUAGUACUUUUUAAUCUUAUGAUCUAGAGGGUCACCCGCAGCCUUCCCACCACGAUGAAGAUACACAACAAGCAAGUGAAGAUGAAACUCAACCCGGGGAUGAAACUGAAACCAUGGUUAACGUCAAAGAGAAAGACAACAACAAACCACUCCUCGAAGAAGUUACUAUCAUUGGUGCUGAUUAGGAAGAAGAAACAUAAGAUGACGAUGGACAGUUGUAUAAUGGAAUGAAGUGUUUGUUCGUGUUUGUGAUAUUUUGAGUUUAGAAAUCUUUGGAAAGUUACAUUUUUUGUGUUGAAUUAGUGAUGCAGUGGAAAGUAUAAGUAUGGGGAGGAGGUUCUGUGCAUUGCCAACAUUUUGGGUGAAAAUCUGAAGGAAGAAGAGAAGAGGAGGGCAUCAACAUGGAGAUUGAGAUGACCGAAUUGGAGAAAAAGUAUUGAUAUAUUUUGAAAGUUUUGUGAAAGAAAUGGUACAAAGGUAUGAAACAAGGAGAAAACUCUUCAAGUUUUUGCUUUAUGUGUGUGGUUCUUCACAGUUUGGGUAAACCGUCCGAGUUAUGGGAAAAAAACGUUGUUGUUUGCCUUGGCUGGAAAGUUCCAUAAGGAACCUAGGGUUGAUUUCAAGGUGAUGAGUUGAUGACAAACGAAAAGGAAAUUGCAGUGAAACGAUGGUUAUUAACAGAUUACUGUAGAAAAGGAUAUCGAGAUGAUGAAAGCGAGAUGUAACGAUCACAAGAACAAGUUUUGCUCCAAACCCAUUGUUGUUGCGACAUAAAAGAUUGAUACUUAAGGAAAGAAGUUCUUCAAGCUGUGUUGAAAGAAACUGUAGAUUUGGAAAGUAUUCCCAUUGAAGAAGUAUUUGAGAAUUUGAGAUGUAGUAAAGAUGGUCUCACCACUUUAAAGCCUAUAACAAGCUUGAAGAAAAUAAGGAGAGCAAAUUAUUGAAAUAUUUAGUGUUUAUGUGGAAUCUACUCUCAUGGGUGAUGGAAGCUGCUGCUAUAAUAGCAAAUUGCUCUUGCUAAUGGAAGGAAUUAUUGUUCCAGGGAAAGCCUCCCGACUCGCAAGAUUUUGGGGGAAUUAUUCUUUUGCUUUUUGAUAAGUUCUGUGAUUAGUUUUGUGGAAGAAAACAAUGCAGGCAAUGCUGCUGUAGCUCUUAUGGCUACUCUGGCCCCUGAAAGCAUAGAUUUAAAGAUAGAAAAUGGAAUGAAGAUAUAUGAUGCUUCAAUUUAGUUCCGGGGGAUGUGAUUAGUAUCAAAUUUGGAGAUCUUAUUCAGGCGGAUGCUUGUCUGCUUCUGCUUGGUGGUGAUCCUUUGAAGAUUGACCAGGAAGUAAAGAGGAGACAUUUUUUUUUACUGGCAAGGAUGGUUAGACUUGGACUGCGAUGAUGAUUCAUGAGCGUCAAUGUGGAAAUUGCAGCAAUUUUUUGGUGCAGAAUUGAAGCAGUUUUUGGUGCAGAUUUAUGGACUGUUUCAAGCUGAAUUGGUGCAGAACUGCAGCAGUUAAGUAUUAUAAUGGAUGAACAAGUGAACAUGGUUUUGGAGGUGUGUAUCAGGCUAUGCUAAGGAAAACAGGUGGUUCGGGUUAGAACAUUGAUGUUGCUGUCAAGCAACUUAGCAAGAAGGGUUUGCAGGUUUAUUUUCUUUUUUUAUUAUUGCAUUUUCUGGAAUACAAACUGGACAAACUUAUGGUCAAUUUUACUUAUGGUUGUUGCAGGCUAUGAUAAGUUGUUGCUGUCAAACAACUUAUCAUGCUUAUUUUACUUAUGGUCAAUUUGUAAAAAUUGGAAAUGGAAUUGGUUAGCUUUAGCUGAGAGUAUUAAAAUUGGAAGUAUAGUAAGCUGUCAGCAUACAUGUCCAAAAUCUGUUUUAUGCGGUUAACAAAAUAGUGGCUAACAGAUUUUGUAAAAUGUAAUGGUUUGCUGGUGGGGGAUAGAUUGGAUGAUAUGUGGAGUAAAAUUGUAUAUUGCACUUGGCAUGGAAGAAUGUCAUGAUAUUUUUUAUGAAAAUGGGUUUUAUAGUGGAGGUUUGACUUUGUUAAGUCAAAGUUACCUUGGACUUUUCCAUAAAAACUAAAAGAGGACUGGACUAAAGAAUGGGCUCAAGUGAAUGAUUUCAUCGUUUUUGGAGCAGAUUUACAAGGCAAUAAAAUAGUGCAAAUGUGAAAUUGUUUGAAGCUACAAGAUUUACAUCAAACUAUCAAUGUUGAAUGCCUUUUUACCCAAAUUUAAUUAUUGUUGAAGCUACAGUAUCUUAGUUGAAUUGGGCUCAUAGCUUUUGUUUUGUAAUAAUUUUUUUAAGCAAUAAAUUUCCAAGUGCCUUUUUACCCAAA
This is a long non-coding RNA of Erigeron canadensis, 2384 nucleotides long. RefSeq lists it as uncharacterized. Lineage: Eukaryota; Viridiplantae; Streptophyta; Magnoliopsida; Asterales; Asteraceae. The record is from RefSeq and is a predicted model, not a curated record. The transcript is spliced from 14 exons.